UUUGUGAAGACACAAGUGAAGCACAAAAGAGAUUUCUCUGCAGCCUGCACCGCAGGGGGCUGCGAGGGGACCGCUGGCUCCACGCUCACCACACGCAAGAGACAGUCAUCAAAACGACAGAAGCAGCCAAGGCACAAAGGAACAGUAUCCAGAUAAAGGAUGAAGGGUGGCCAUGAUUUCUUCAUCACCCCCUAAUGUAAGUAGAAAUUACCAAGACAGACACGGAACCUCCUCCCACCACUCAGAAGCAGGACAGGAAGCUUAGUGAGAAAAAAACCCCAACCAACCCUGAACAUUUGUGAGGAAGUCAGAGUACCAUGGAAUCUAAAUUGCUGAGUAUCUAACAAGAAGGGCUAACGUUACCUACCAGCAGUAACAGCACACCAGUUUCUUCUGAAGUUCAGCCUGCCCUCUGUUACCCUGUUCUGGAAUGGGCAGAGUGACUGCAGAGCACCCUCUUGUCACCUUGGGGUCCAACUGGCUGCAAAUGUACCCAGGGGUUUUCAUCCUGUGCCACCUGUGUUGUGGCACUGUGUGACAUAGACCAAUGAGACAAGCACAUACACAGCAGACAAGUCCGCAAGAGACCAACUAAACUGAUUUACAGAAGAUGUAUCCUCCCCUCCUCAGCCCCAGAAGCGGAUUCAUUAUCAGUGUUUCUCAGGAUACCCCUAAUAGAGCUUUGGCACAAGAUCGCCAGCCAAAACCCAGAUGCAGACAUUUUCGGGGAAUGAUUCCUCUGGGAGACCGGCCUUUCCUCCAGCAGCCCCAUUCCAGCCCCAUGCAGGCUGGAGCUCCAACCUUUCUCAACCCUCACCAGCAAGACAUUUUUCCAUUUGUUUCCUCCAUCUUCCAAUCUCUGUGCACAGUUAGAUGAUCACAACUGUAGCCAUGGAUUACUGCAGCUGAAGACAAACUCCUAAUGAGAGUAUUCAGAGACAGCUCUUUCUACUCUGAAGAUCAUAAAGUGUUCAUACAGAUGCCAUAAAUCCACAGGAUAUUCCAUGGAAACACAAAGCCAACCAUUAUUCUUCAAAGGAAACUAUACAACAGAGAGUAUCACUGUUAUGAAGAACACAUUAUAUCAAAUUAUACUAUACAAUUCUUAUUAAAUGUGUUUUCUGAAAAAUAAAAAUU
RNAcentral lists this long non-coding RNA (1137 nucleotides) under Calidris pugnax (ruff). Its description in RNAcentral is "lncRNA (ENSCPUG00000011864.1)". Lineage: Eukaryota; Metazoa; Chordata; Aves; Charadriiformes; Scolopacidae. The record is from RNAcentral.